RNAcentral lists this ribosomal RNA (401 nucleotides) under uncultured Methanomicrobiales archaeon. Its description in RNAcentral is "bacterial SSU rRNA". It matches the Rfam family "Archaeal small subunit ribosomal RNA", at positions 938 to 1338 of the family's 1478-position model. Lineage: Archaea; Methanobacteriati; Methanobacteriota; Methanomicrobia; Methanomicrobiales. The record is from RNAcentral.
GACAGCUGAAUGAUAGUCGGGCUGAAGACUCUACUUGACUAGCUGAGAGGAGGUGCAUGGCCGUCGUCAGUUCGUACUGUGAAGCAUCCUGUUAAGUCAGGCAACGAGCGAGACCCACGCCAACAGUUGCCAGCUCGUCCUCCGGGAUGGUGGGGACACUGUUGGGACCGCCUCUGCUAAAGAGGAGGAAGGAAUGGGCAACGGUAGGUCAGCAUGCCCCGAAUUAUCUGGGCUACACGCGGGCUACAAUGGGUGGGACAAUGGGUAUCGACACCGAAAGGUGAAGGCAAUCUCCUAAACCCAUCCGUAGUUCGGAUUGUGGGCUGCAACUCGCCCACAUGAAGCUGGAAUCUGUAGUAAUCGUGUCUCAAAAUGGCACGGUGAAUAUGUCCCUGCUCCUU